Molecule: long non-coding RNA, 3047 nt
Organism: Gymnogyps californianus (California condor)
Lineage: Eukaryota; Metazoa; Chordata; Aves; Accipitriformes; Cathartidae
Exons: 2
Source: RefSeq, a predicted model, not a curated record
GAGAAGAGAAACAAGAUGACACCAUAAGUCAGCAGGGUAAAGAAAUACCAAGAUAAGCACAGGGGCAACCAAAGAGCUACUUGAACUGUGAGUGAACUCUCCUAAUUAACAUACUAGAAAACCCGCCCUCGGGUAGGGAGAGCCCCCUACCAACAGAAGCCCCUUCCUCACAGAACAUGCGCAGUAAAAAAGGAGGACGCUGCGACUUUAAGUGGAGAUGAGACUUGCGAGAGCCAAUAGGAACGAGAGUAACUCAGCGAAACUGUAAAAAUACUGAUAACUGUUGCUCGAAAGGUAUAAAAUGCUUUACCGGGUGUUAACCGGGUGUGCUAGCUUUGUGGAGUUACCACCUAGCACCCAUCUCUGCGCAGACGUGAAAUAAACAAAUAUCUCGACUCUGUGUGUUAAUUGGCUUUUUUGCACACCGGGUGAAAGAAUCCUGAUUUUUGGGACAACAUUUUGGCACCCCAGAUGGGACGGCCAUAAGGCCUUGCCCGGAUCGUCUUGCCGUCCCCGACAGCAGACCGGACCGAGCUCCAGCGCGCACCGACCUAUUGAUCGGGGACUCCUCCGGAUUCCCUCCGAAGCCGGGGUGACAAGCGACUCAAAGGUGCAACGCCGACCAGAGAUAUUUGUAUCAGGGUGAAAGGGGAAUGAAUCCUUGGAUUGUAUGUGGACGAUAUCUUAAUUGGAGCAGAUACAGAACAGACUUGUACAGAAGCCACAGUAAGCCUGCUAAACUUUCUGGGACUGGCCAGAUUCUGCUGGAUAUGGAUCCCCAAUUUCGGACUUACAACCAAGCCCUUAUACGCAGCCACAAAGGGCCUUGUGGGGAGUUGUUAGAAGGGACUCCAGAGUGUCGGAGUAGUUUUGAUGAAAUUAAAAAAAACGAUGGAAGCUCUCCUCAAGAAGCUACAUGAAGAAACUCACAUGGGAGCCGAUGCUAUGAUAAGCAGCGUUAAGAGAUACGCUGUAGGGCCAAAAAUGCAGACAAAUGCAGAUAUAAUAGUAAAGAGAUGAAACUUGUGUAAAUGAUCCCAAAAUACAAAGAAAGCCGCCAGCAGGUGACGUAAAAAGAGGAAUAACCCCUAGGGAAUACUGGCAAAUAGAUUUCUCUGAAUUACCAAAAUAUGGACAGCAUAAGUAUCUACUUGUUCUAGUGGAUACGUUUUCCGGAUGGCCUGAGACUUUCCCUUGUCGCAACAAUGGGGCUAGGGAAGUAAUUAGGAUAUUACUAAAGGAAAUAACCCCCAGAUAGCUAGAGUUGGACCAUAUGUCGUUAAAAGGGUUGGACAACAACGACUUUUGUUUAAUCCAUCAUGGUCCCUCAAACGGGUAGAACUAUCAAUGCAGAUUAAUAUCUCUGCAGUUAAACCAGCCUGUUCACCAUUCGUAAGUGCGUCCUACACAGGAUGGUUAGCAUGGUUACAUGGGCGGUCUCUUACCCUUCCAAAUCGAGUAAAAAGAGAUGUAACUGGUAUCCUAGGGACAGGAUUGGGAGUCUUAAACAGCAUAGAUAUGAAGUACUUGCAAACAAACUUAGUACAGCCACACAUGAUCUAAAAAAACUAGAACAUCCAUUGUGAUCCUCCCUUAGGAACUCAUCAGUGGCUGUUAUCUGAUAUAUUGCCUCAGCGGGAAAGGGUUAAUGAAAAGGACCACCAAUAAUCAUAGAUGCACUUGGUAUAGCCCAAAAUAAUAUUUCUCUAGCUCUUAGUUGUAUCCAGGCUCAACUGUGAGUGCAAUAUACAAUAGCAGCAAUUGUAAGAGAAGGUGAAGAUGGCACCUUACCUACUGAAAUUCGGAAAAUAAUCUGGGAAAAGGCAACUGCAUUUGAAAGAGAAUUCCAGUCGUGGUGGUAUCUGGGCAAUUUCACUCACAAUCCUAUCGAUAACAAAGCCACGGCCUUUGUCGUAACCAUACAGAAUGCAUCAGUAAAAACCAUCUACCCGAUCAUUGCGUUAGGAUUAAAUCACAACAGGACUGUACUUUAUCCACUAGAGCAUAGAGUAUGGGCCCAACGAAACAAUAACAGAUGGCAGACUGUUGAAGUUGAUGCAUGUGUGGUACGGGAAGAACAGGGAUUUAUUUGCGAAAGUAAUACCAUCAAAGCUCAAGACAUUUGUCUUGACACUGAGCAAAAUGUUUGUCACUUCGAGAUACAUCCGAAAGAAAUCCCUGGAACUGUGCUUAUAUAUAUUGGGAAAGGAUGUGUGUGUAUAAGAACUCUAUGUAAUUUUAUAGUUGUAGAUAACAUUACUGUCGGGAUAAAAAAAUCACUCAAAUACUUGCAUUUGUAACUUUACUAACAUUAUAGGAUGUGAUUUCAACUAUUCAGCUCCGGUUACGACUUAUCAGCUAAUACAAUCCAAUUAUGCUUUAGUUAAAGAUCUAUUGCUUACUCCCAUUGGGAUGGAUCUCACACUGGUGAAAAAAAAAUUUUACAACAUAAUGAUCUAUGCCAGUUGCUGGAACGUGCCCGAGAAGAGGGACAAAGGGCUUCAAUCACCGUUCACCAUGACACAGAAGAGAUACAUCGUGUUUUGGACCGGGUGAAGAAAGAUGGAGAACAUAGGUGGUGGGAAGCCCUCCUCGGAUGGGCACCCAAGACAACAGGCAUUCUUAAUCUCAUGCUACACCCUGUUGUGAUCUUGUUAUUGCUAACAUGUUUAUGUUUACUGCUUAUAAUCAUACUGUAUUUUAAGGUUUGGCACAUGAUGAAGCAAAUUGCUCUAAUGCAAUCACCCAGGGUAUGCACGCUCACGACAGAGGGAGAUAAAUCCCUCAAACUUGAAAACUUCCCUAUAAAGGACAGGAAAAAAUUCCCACAAGACAUAUGUCAAUGGGAAGGAACCUAUGAGCAGUUUUGGAAAAUUUUGAAAUCUCCCAGAGACUGAAGUUUUAGAAUGAAAAUAUCUAAGUGAGACUUAUUUUAAAUAAGAACUAUUUAUCUAAGUCUCAAAGGGGGGAAUUGUUGGAGAUAGGCGAGAAACAAAAACAAAGGAUGCUACUUAGUUAACGAGGCGUGACCUUGAGAAGAGAAACAA